CAGAGAAAAGAUAUUCUGGCCACUACAAGGGUGAUUGUGAAGAAAUGCAGCGGCCUCGAGUUGGUGGAAACUAGACGUCGUAAUGGGACCACACACUGCCGACGAGAGUCGAUGGACUGACAGACUUUGAACAAAAGAGCUCCGCCUCUUGCGUGUACUCUAGGGCGGCGCACAUCCCCAAAUAUCAGCGACGGCAGGUUGAAAGGCGCAAAAUAAGCUAAACCUCGGUGGAGUUCAGCUCGGAGAAAGAAGAAGAAAAGUACACAACGCUGACUUCAAGGCUCUCUGGCAGCGGAAAAAUGCAGCGUAUGAAAAUAAAAGUAAAACAGAGCGAGCGCAAGCAGCAAAGGCUCCGACAACUCAGGUGACUUGUUUGCUUUUUUUUUUU
This is a long non-coding RNA of Hippocampus zosterae (dwarf seahorse), 388 nucleotides long. RefSeq lists it as uncharacterized. The transcript is spliced from 3 exons. NCBI's taxonomy places the organism in Eukaryota, Metazoa, Chordata, Actinopteri, Syngnathiformes, Syngnathidae. The record is from RefSeq and is a predicted model, not a curated record.